CCUACUUUGUUCAUCAUUUUUGAAUAUUUUGCAAUUUAUUAAACUCUUACCCAGCAACUCCGCGUGAAUUAUGAAGGUCUUCUGAUUGUAAAGUUCUUUUCUAAGGGAAGAAGAAAGUGACGGUACCUUAGGAAUAAGCCUCGGCUAACUACGUGCCAGCAGCCGCGGUAAUACGUAGGAGGCAAGCGUUAUCCGGAAUGACUGGGCGUAAAGGGUGCGUAGGUGGUUUGACAAGUUGGUAGCGUAACUCCGGGGCUCAACCUCGGCACUACUACCAAAACUGUCGGACUUGAGUGCAGGAGGGGCAAAUGGAAUGCCUAGUGUAGCGGUGGAAUGCGUAGAUAUUAGGAGGAACACCAGUGGCGAAGGCGAUUUGCUGGACUGUAACUGACACUGAGGCACGAAAGCGUGGGGAGCAAACAGGAUUAGAUACCCUAGUAGUC
Molecule: ribosomal RNA, 443 nt
Filed under: uncultured bacterium
Lineage: Bacteria
Description: partial 16S ribosomal RNA
Rfam family: Bacterial small subunit ribosomal RNA
Source: RNAcentral